This 310-nucleotide ribosomal RNA is filed under the name uncultured bacterium. RNAcentral describes it as "bacterial SSU rRNA". It matches the Rfam family "Bacterial small subunit ribosomal RNA", at positions 29 to 334 of the family's 1533-position model. The record is from RNAcentral.
AACGAGCGCUGGCGGCGUGCUUAACACAUGCAAGUCGAACGCGAAAGUUUUCUUCGGAAAGCGAGUAGAGUGGCGCACGGGUGAGUAACGCGUAAGUAAUCUACCCUGGUAUAUGGGAUAACCCACCGAAAGGUGAGCUAAUACCGUAUACGCUGAUUUAUCAGGAAAGGUGGCCUCUUCAUGAAAGCUACUGUACUAGGAGGAGCUUGCGUACCAUUAGCUAGUUGGUAGGGUAAUGGCCUACCAAGGCAACGAUGGUUAGCGGGUCUGAGAGGAUGAUCCGCCACACUGGAACUGGAACACGGACCAG